GACGAACGCUGGCUGCGUGCCUAAUACAUGCAAGUCGAGCGAGCUUGCCUAGAUGAUUUUAGUGCUUGCACUAAAUGAAACUAGAUACAAGCGAGCGGCGGACGGGUGAGUAACACGUGGGUAACCUGCCCAAGAGACUGGGAUAACACCUGGAAACAGAUGCUAAUACCGGAUAACAACACUAGACGCAUGUCUAGAGUUUGAAAGAUGGUUCUGCUAUCACUCUUGGAUGGACCUGCGGUGCAUUAGCUAGUUGGUAAGGUAACGGCUUACCAAGGCAAUGAUGCAUAGCCGAGUUGAGAGACUGAUCGGCCACAUUGGGACUGAGACACGGCCCAAACUCCUACGGGAGGCAGCAGUAGGGAAUCUUCCACAAUGGACGAAAGUCUGAUGGAGCAACGCCGCGUGAGUGAAGAAGGGUUUCGGCUCGUAAAGCUCUGUUGGUAGUGAAGAAAGAUAGAGGUAGUAACUGGCCUUUAUUUGACGGUAAUUACUUAGAAAGUCACGGCUAACUAC
Molecule: ribosomal RNA, 516 nt
Filed under: uncultured bacterium
Lineage: Bacteria
Description: bacterial SSU rRNA
Rfam family: Bacterial small subunit ribosomal RNA
Source: RNAcentral